Molecule: ribosomal RNA, 492 nt
Filed under: uncultured bacterium
Lineage: Bacteria
Description: partial 16S ribosomal RNA
Rfam family: Bacterial small subunit ribosomal RNA
Source: RNAcentral
GAUGAACGCUAGCUACAGGCUUAACACAUGCAAGUCGAGGGGAAACGGCAUCGAAAGCUUGCUUUUGAUGGGCGUCGACCGGCGCACGGGUGAGUAACGCGUAUCCAACCUGCCCAUCACUUGGGAAUAACCUUGCGAAAGUAAGACUAAUGCCCAAUGACAUCCCACGAAGGCAUCCGAAUGGGAUUAAAGAUUUAUCGGUGAUGGAUGGGGAUGCGUCUGAUUAGCUUGUUGGCGGGGUGACGGCCCACCAAGGCAACGAUCAGUAGGGGUUCUGAGAGGAAGGUCCCCCACAUUGGAACUGAGACACGGUCCAAACUCCUACGGGAGGCAGCAGCGAGGAAUAUUGGUCAAUGGGCGAGAGCCUGAACCAGCCAAGUAGCGUGCAGGAUGGCGGCCCUAUGGGUUGUAAACUGCUUUUAUAAGGGAAUAAAGUGGGUCACGUGUGACUUUUUGCAUGUACCUUAUGAAUAAGGACCGGCUAAUUCCGUG